GACGAACGCUGGCGGCGCGCCUAACACAUGCAAGUCGAACGAGAGAUGAGGAGCUUGCUCUUCGAAUCGAGCGGCGAACGGGUGAGUAACGCGUGAGGAACCUGCCUCAAAGAGGGGGACAACAGUUGGAAACGACUGCUAAUACCGCAUAAGCCCACGGCUCGGCAUCGAGCAGAGGGAAAAGGAGCAAUCCGCUUUGAGAUGGCCUCGCGUCCGAUUAGCUAGUUGGUGAGGUAAUGGCCCACCAAGGCGACGAUCGGUAGCCGGACUGAGAGGUUGAACGGCCACAUUGGGACUGAGACACGGCCCAGACUCCUACGGGAGGCAGCAGUGGGGAAUAUUGCACAAUGGGGGAAACCCUGAUGCAGCGACGCCGCGUGGAGGAAGAAGGUCUUCGGAUUGUAAACUCCUGUUGUUGAGGAAGAUAAUGACGGUACUCAACAAGGAAGUGACGGCUAACUACGUGCCAGCAGCCGCGGUAAAACGUAGGUCACAAGCGUUGUCCGGAAUUACUGGGUGUAAAGGGAGCGCAGGCGGGAGAACAAGUUGGAAGUGAAAUCCAUGGGCUCAACCCAUGAACUGCUUUCAAAACUGUUUUUCUUGAGUAGUGCAGAGGUAGGCGGAAUUCCCGGUGUAGCGGUGGAAUGCGUAGAUAUCGGGAGGAACACCAGUGGCGAAGGCGGCCUACUGGGCACCAACUGACGCUGAGGCUCGAAAGUGUGGGUAGCAAACAGGAUUAGAUACCCUGGUAGUCCACACCGUAAACGAUGAUUACUAGGUGUUGGAGGAUUGACCCCUUCAGUGCCGCAGUUAACACAAUAAGUAAUCCACCUGGGGAGUACGACCGCAAGGUUGAAACUCAAAGGAAUUGACGGGGGCCCGCACAGGCAGUGGAGUAUGUGGUUUAAUUCGACGCAACGCGAAGAACCUUACCAAGUCUUGACAUCCUGCGACGCACAUAGAAAUAUGUGUUUCCUUCGGGACGCAGAGACAGGUGGUGCAUGGUUGUCGUCAGCUCGUGUCGUGAGAUGUUGGGUUAAGUCCCGCAACGAGCGCAACCCUUAUGGUCAGUUACUACGCAAGAGGACUCUGGCCAGACUGCCGUUGACAAAACGGAGGAAGGUGGGGAUGACGUCAAAUCAUCAUGCCCUUUAUGACUUGGGCUACACACGUACUACAAUGGCGUUAAACAAAGAGAAGCAAGACCGCGAGGUGGAGCAAAACUCAGAAACAACGUCCCAGUUCGGACUGCAGGCUGCAACUCGCCUGCACGAAGUCGGAAUUGCUAGUAAUCGUGGAUCAGCAUGCCACGGUGAAUACGUUCCCGGGCCUU
This 1333-nucleotide ribosomal RNA is filed under the name uncultured bacterium. Its description in RNAcentral is "bacterial SSU rRNA". It matches the Rfam family "Bacterial small subunit ribosomal RNA", at positions 28 to 1382 of the family's 1533-position model. The record is from RNAcentral.